GAUGAAGAACGUAGCGAAAUGCGAUAAGUAAUGUGAAUUGCAGAAUUCAGUGAAUCAUCGAAUCUUUGAACGCACAUUGCGCCCGCCAGUAUUCUGGCGGGCAUGCCUGUCCGAGCGUCAUUUCAACCAUCAAGCCCCGGGCUUGUGUUGGGGACCUGCGUCCGACGCAGGCCCUGAAAACCAGUGGCGGGCUCGCUGUCCACACCGAGCGUAGUAACUAACCUCGCUAUGGAGUGGCGCGGGCGCCUGCCGUAAAACCCCCAAUUUCACAAGGUUGACCUCGGAUCAGGUAGGAAUACCCGCUGAACUUAAGCAUAUCAAUAAGCUGAGGA
This 332-nucleotide unclassified non-coding RNA is filed under the name soil metagenome. Its description in RNAcentral is "partial contains 5.8S ribosomal RNA, internal transcribed spacer 2, and large subunit ribosomal RNA". The stretch from base 1 to 120 matches the Rfam family "5.8S ribosomal RNA", at positions 35 to 154 of the family's 154-position model. The record is from RNAcentral.